AACGAACGCUGGCGGCAUGCCUAACACAUGCAAGUCGAACGAGACCUUCGGGUCUAGUGGCGCACGGGUGCGUAACGCGUGGGAACCUGCCCUUAGGUUCGGAAUAACUCCCCGAAAGGGGUCCUAAUACCGGAUAAUGUCUUCGGACCAAAGAUUUAUCGCCUUUGGAUGGGCCCGAGUUGGAUUAGCUAGUUGGUAGGGUAAAAGCCUACCAAGGCGACGAUCCAUAGCUGGUCUGAGAGGAUGAUCAGCCACACUGGGACUGAGACACGGCCCAGACUGGUACGGGAGGCAGCAGUGGGGAAUAUUGGACAAUGGGCGAAAGCCUGAUCCAGCAAUGCCGGGUGAGUGAUGAAGGCCUUAGGGUUGUAAAGCUCUUUUACCCGGGAUGAUAAUGACAGUACCGGGAGAAUAAGCUCCGGCUAACUCCGU
RNAcentral lists this ribosomal RNA (432 nucleotides) under uncultured bacterium. RNAcentral describes it as "partial 16S ribosomal RNA". It matches the Rfam family "Bacterial small subunit ribosomal RNA", at positions 29 to 506 of the family's 1533-position model. The record is from RNAcentral.